UGUUUUUUGAAUAAUUAUAAAAAAUAAAUUUCCUGCCCAAUGUAUUAUAAAUGGCUGCGGUAUCCUAACCGUACAAAGGUAGCAUAAUAAAUUGCCCAUUAAUUGUGGGAUAGAAUGAACGGAAUAAUGAGAAAGAAACUAUCCCAAUUAUAUAAAAGAAAACUAACAUUCUAGUGAAGAGGCUAAAAUAAAAUUAUAAGACAAGAAGACCCUACAGAGCUUAAACUAUAAUACUAAACUAGUAUAUCCAUUUAGGUUGGGGCGACCACAAAUAUAAACAUUUCAAAUUCAAAGAUAAACAAAUCUAAGAUAAAGACCCUAAAAAGAUCACAGAACAAAGUUACCUUAGGGAUAACAGGCUAAUCCUACUAAAGAGUCCAUAUCUACAGUAGGGAUUGGCACCUCGAUGUUGGCUUAAAAAAUCUUUAUAAACGCAACAGUUAUAAAAGUAGGUUUGUUCAACCUAUAAUAUUUU
RNAcentral lists this ribosomal RNA (475 nucleotides) under Marionina nevisensis. RNAcentral's name for it is "partial 16S ribosomal RNA". It matches the Rfam family "Bacterial large subunit ribosomal RNA", at positions 1829 to 2597 of the family's 2925-position model. Lineage: Eukaryota; Metazoa; Annelida; Clitellata; Enchytraeida; Enchytraeidae. The record is from RNAcentral.